GACAGAGGGUGCAAACGUUGUUCGGAAUUACUGGGCGUAAAGCGCGUGUAGGCGGCUAAGUAAGUCGGGCGUGAAAUCCCACGGCUCAACCGUGGAAGUGCACUCGAAACUGCAUAGCUAGAGUCCUGGAGAGGAAGGUGGAAUGCUUGGUGUAGAGGUGAAAUUCGUAGAUAUCAAGCGGAACACCGGUGGCGAAGGCGGCCUUCUGGACGAUGACUGACGCUGAGACGCGAAAGCGUGGGGAGCAAACAGG
Molecule: ribosomal RNA, 253 nt
Filed under: uncultured bacterium
Lineage: Bacteria
Description: partial 16S ribosomal RNA
Rfam family: Bacterial small subunit ribosomal RNA
Source: RNAcentral